RNAcentral lists this ribosomal RNA (280 nucleotides) under Ruminococcus bromii. Its description in RNAcentral is "partial 16S ribosomal RNA". It matches the Rfam family "Bacterial small subunit ribosomal RNA", at positions 497 to 776 of the family's 1533-position model. Lineage: Bacteria; Bacillati; Bacillota; Clostridia; Eubacteriales; Oscillospiraceae. The record is from RNAcentral.
UAUGGUAAGUGCCAGCAGCCGCGGUAAUACGUAGGGAGCAAGCGUUGUCCGGAUUUACUGGGUGUAAAGGGUGCGUAGGCGGCUUUGCAAGUCAGAUGUGAAAUCUAUGGGCUCAACCCAUAAACUGCAUUUGAAACUGUAGAGCUUGAGUGAAGUAGAGGCAGGCGGAAUUCCCCGUGUAGCGGUGAAAUGCGUAGAGAUGGGGAGGAACACCAGUGGCGAAGGCGGCCUGCUGGGCUUUAACUGACGCUGAGGCACGAAAGCGUGGGUAGCAAACAGG